Tachyglossus aculeatus (Australian echidna) is the source of this 138-nucleotide small nucleolar RNA. The record is from RefSeq and is a predicted model, not a curated record. Lineage: Eukaryota; Metazoa; Chordata; Mammalia; Monotremata; Tachyglossidae.
UCCCUCUCAGGAUCACACCUGGAGAGUUUCCAGUACUUUACCAGUCUCGGCUACGAGAAGGAGAGUCAAGCAGAGGCAGACCCACUCCAUUUCUAGCUUAGCCGGUGGCUACUGAGUGGAAGACAAUCUGCUACAAAG